RNAcentral lists this ribosomal RNA (339 nucleotides) under uncultured bacterium. Its description in RNAcentral is "bacterial SSU rRNA". It matches the Rfam family "Bacterial small subunit ribosomal RNA", at positions 28 to 353 of the family's 1533-position model. The record is from RNAcentral.
GACGAACGCUGGCGGCGUGCUUAACACAUGCAAGUCGAGCGGAAAGGCCCUCUCGGGGGUACUCGAGCGGCGAACGGGUGAGUAACACGUGAGUAACCUGCCCCUGACUUCGGGAUAAGCCUGGGAAACUGGGUCUAAUACCGGAUAUGACACACGGUCGCAUGGCCUGUGUGUGGAAAGUCAGUGUUUAAUAGACACUGCUCGGUUGGGGAUGGGCUCGCGGCCUANCAGCUUGUUGGUGGGGUAGUGGCCUACCAAGGCGACGACGGUAGCCGGCCUGAGAGGGCGACCGGCCACACUGGGACUGAGACACGGCCCAGACUCCUACGGGAGGCAGCA